CUGUUCGAGAACAACAGUUGAAACUUGGAUGUUGAAACGGAAAGUCAAAAUUUCGAGCAGAAUAUGGGAGUUAUUAGGUUAAUUAAAGUCGCCAGGAAAAGAAAAGAUUAACAACAUAUAUUGAACAAAGAAUAAAAGGUAAAACAACCAAUUGUAUAUAUAAACUAAAAUCUAUUUAUUAGAAAACGUACGUUAUUUGUAUUUCAUUUCAGCAUAAUAAUAACAAUGUGGACAGGUUAAAGUGAUCAUGUUAUACGGAUUGUCCAAUUUUAUUUAAUUUAAUGAAUGUGUUCCUUUCAGAACUUGGAAUUAUUAUAUUAGGCCUACAUGCACUAUUUAUUUUGCUCAAUGCACAUAUGGGGCUUUUUAUUGACCGAUUACAUCAAUUAUUACGCUUACAUACGAUAGCUUACAUUGUAAACUAACCUAAACUAUUUUUUGUAACAAUAAUUGUGAUAUUAGUUUGCUAACUAUGUUUAUCCUAACCCACCGUACCAACUUGCCCUGUGGGAGUAAAUCGGAGCACCGAUUUUCGGCAGAGCGUUGACAGACUCAUGUACAUAUGAGUCUGUAGCGAGAUUCCAACCCCACGAUCUCAGAAGUGAAAAACACUUUCUUUGACGACGGCGCCACAGUGAAGUCCCGGCUAAAAAUUAUUAUUAGGUAAGCGGCGCAAUUAUUGUCUAAGCAUGCGCGAAAACUGCUCGGGUUUUCAUCGGGGGAAGAUGAUAUGCGUGCUUCCAUGUGUUGAUCGAAAAAACAUAAACAACGUGAAUGAAGCAUUCGAAAGGCAAUUUUGCAGCGACUGUUUAUGGGUACAAUGAGGAAAAUGCAAGAUUGAAUAUUAAUAAAUUAUCUGACAUAUAACACGUUAAAAGCUAGUAUUAUACCAUUAAUUCGUUUUAAAUAUAUAUAAUACCAAUGUAAUCCAUAGAAUUAUAUUCGUAUAAUUACGAUAUUAUAGUCGAAUCGAAUUUGUAAAACAAAUUAAAAUAUGAGUUACAGUAAAGAUAAGAAAAGCUGGCGAAUGCAUAAGUGUUUCUUCACGCUAGCCUUCAAAUAAAAUACUUAUUGCCAAGCACACGGAUAUGCCAAGGAAAGCUUGCUAAGUUUUUGUGUCUUUCUAUUAUGCUCUGGUUAUCCAUUGAGCACUCUAUCCAGUGAAGGAGUCAAGAAGGGGGGAGUGGCAAAUGCUCCCCCCCCUAAUUAUUUUCUCCCCCCCCUAAAAAAAAAUUAAGGCUACACAAGCAUUUUGUCGUUAAUUAUCAAAAAUGUAUUGGUAAUAAGUUGUCAUUACUCAUUAGUGAAUGCGCGUAUACAUGAAACUGUUUUUUACAGUUUCAAUGUUAGUUUGUAAAUCUCUGAGUGGUAUGGCUUGCCAAUACUCCAAUAAUACGUUUCAAGAAAGACAAAAAAGCUUUAGUUUUGCAGAGUUAAAUUCCCAAACGUGUAUAAGGCGCUAAAAAGAUGGAAGUAUCACGAAAUUAUUUGAAUAAACCACGUCGCAUAUAGGGGGGGGGGGCGAAUAUCCUAAAAGGGGAGACAUUCCUAGAAUAUUCGAUGAUCUCCCUAGGAAUUUCGCCCUCCUUUUGAGAGGGGGAACAUAUCUCCUAUGGGGGGAGGGGCGAAAGUCCUGUGACAAUGGCAUGGGCGAAUAGCAGUACCUUUUUAAAAUUAUAUAUAUAUAUAUAUUAAACUGAAAGCUAUUUGAAUCUAAAAAAAGUAAUUGUUUGCAUAGGCCUUUGUUUCUUCUUAUAUAAAAAAGUUAUUUUAACACACAAUCGCUACCCUACAUUUCCAAAAGCUAAAAUGCAAUCUUAACGGCUGAAAUUCGGUUUCUCGUAAACUGCACUGGCGAUUUUCAAAUAACUUUCAAAAAGAUUUAAAACUUCACAAUAAUGUAUUUCUGCAAUAAAAAAGGUAUAGGUCAACGUGGUUUUUUGUCCGCUAAGACGACUUCUUGUUGUUGAUAUAGGGCUUAUAAAUGGUGACGUCAUAUUUUCAAGGUAUCGUGAAUUAAGAGUGGCGAUUGUCGGUUAAAAUUACCCUUUCGUAUAAGAAGAAACAAUGAAUUUAAAUUGCUUUUAGUUUGAAACACUGACACAUAUUUUGGAAACUGUAGGGAGCCUCCUUAAUUGUUAUCUGUAUGUAGCAAAUGCCGACAAUGCAUGCUUUUCCAUGGAUCAAGCGGACAACGAAAUGCUCUUUAAUUUAAAUGAUUGUGUGGACAAGCCUUCAACAGCUCUAUAACAUCUCGAUUAAUGUUUCCAUGUUAACGAUGAAAAAAUUUACAGUCACACUUUCUCCAAAUGUCCAAUACAUUGAAAACAUUAGCGUAUAAAAAUAGUGUGGCAAUCAACUUUAAAUUCAGUCAGUCGCAAUUCCAGGCCGCUGACUGCAUGCGGAGACCGUGAUCAAAAAUUACCCUGGCUGCCAUACAAUUUCAAGGGCCUUGAGGCAGACUCUUCUCCAAUUUGUGGCGAGUUCCCUUUCCGCAACAUUAUUCAUAUUAAAUUUUCUUUUAAAUUAAGUUUAAAAUUAUGUAUAACGUUAACAGAAUUCUUAUAUCUCUUCAAUUUCAAAACGGUUCUGCCAUGCAGCCUAUUCAAUUUAUCAUUUUGCUGAUACAAACUCAAAAAAACCCAGAAAAAUUGUUGAAUUAAAUUUCAAGCUACAUGUGCAAUUUUUUUUAAAUUUUAGGUCUGAGUCAGGGAUAAGAAAUUAAACGAAGCAGGCCUUAUCAGACGUAUUUAAACACAUGAAGAGUCACGUUCAAAACAUAUGAACAGUCAUGAAGCUCACAAGGAAAAGUUAUUACAAUGGACAACAAUACUACAUACCCAAGUAAACCUUCCGAGCAAUGGCAUUUUCUUGGUUUCAUUGUAAUCUUAGUAAUUGCAUGUAUAGUUUGCAACAGUUUUAUUGUAGCCGUUUUUAUUGUCGAGAAGUCAAUACGAAACCACGCGAACAUGUUCGUCGUAAGUCUUGCAUGUGCAGAUCUUGUGGUUGAAAUGAUAUCAAUGCCUUUAUGGAUAGCAAACUCAAGUCAUAGCCUGGAGUUACAUUAUUAUCACUAUAGUAUCGACAUCGUUUGCUGUUCCGUAUCAAUAUUUAACUGUACCCUUCUGAGUAUAGAAAGAUCAUUGAAAAUCGGUUUCCCUUAUUGGUAUACAAAUAACGUAACUGCCUUCAGGUUGAAAAUCAUCAUCCUACUCGGGUGGAUCGCAGCUGUCUUAAUUGGAAGUAUGUCUUUAUUACGAGGAACAAAUCCAAACAAUCUUCCUUACAUUAUCUUUAUAUCCAUUUUCAUUUAUAUUCUGCCUGUCUUAGCCAUCCUUAUUUCUUAUAUAAGUAUAUUCGUCGUAGCACACAGGCAUGCAAAGAGUAUCCGCAAGCAAGAGUGCCGAAUUGACGGCGGUAUGACAAGUACGAGAAUGACAGAGGCAAGAACUGCCUGGCGUCUCAGUGUUUUUAUUAUCGUGUUCAUAAUAUGUUGGACUCCAGUUUUUGUGAAAAUAUGGGGGCGUCUGUUUUCACAAAACGGUCCGCCUCUUUUUUUCAAUGUGGCGGCAAACACGUUGCCGAACAUUAAUGCGGUAAUCAAUCCAUUUUUAUACGCUCUUUUCAAUCCAUCGUUCAGAAGAGGAAUGAUUAAAUUUUGCAGCAAGAAAAAAGGAACUCGCCACAAAAUGGAAUCCAUUCGAAGAAAGGAGAGUUCGACUGCUCUGUCAAAUCUUAAUAACAGUCCGUCCAUGAGCAGAGCUUUAUCAACGCAGUUGUUUCCACAAGAGCGACGUAAACUGCAUUCUGCACACUUGGGGAAAAAACACUUAGAGACCCAAAAAAAUCUGCUUACUCCACCACAUGCUGAGCAUGGACACACCAAUAAUGAAGAAAUGUAUAUUUCAAGCAAUUACGAAACUAGUUUGUAAGAUAACUCAACACUGACGCCCUGUAUCGAUAUUUUACUAACAUCUCCAGGGAAAUGAAUGCAAAAUACAAUACAAUUAGGACACCACGCAAAUUUAAGCAAAUCAAUAUAGUUUUGCAAGAGCUUCAGAACAUACUAAAGAUUGUAUUCUAUUAUUAUAUAAAGUAUAUUGCUUUAUAUAGAGAUUUCGAACACUGAUAAAAGUGAUUAUCUCACAUGUGAGAUUAAUCAUGAUAAUCUCACAUGUGAAAAUUAUCGCUUUUCUGUAAGAAUUAUCGCUUUACAAACACUGUCCUUUAUAUAAUAAACUGAGAAAAAUACAUGGGUGCUUGGAAAUACCAGAUUUAUUUCUCUUGUUGAACAUGAUAUUUCACUCGUUCGCUGCAUGCGCUCACUCGUGAGAUAUCAUGUUUAACACUCGAAAUAAAUUUGGUAUUUCCGCGCACCCAUGUAUUAUUCUCUAUUUAUUAUAUGCCAAGCAUCAGUUCCGGCGAAACGUAACUGCAUGACCACACCAAAAAACGAUGCUUUCGCAAUAUUUCGUUGCUCUUAGUUGAUUCAUUUCAAACUGUACGUCGUUAUGUAUCAAAUUCAAUGACCAAGCCAUUGCGUAUUAAAAAUUGAGUGAGGCUUCAGGCAAAUACCACAUGGUCGACAAGGUAAUAGGACACCCUCGCGCAACGCUAUGCUUCGAUAGCUUGUACACAAUGCGAUUAAGAAUUAUAUGCGACGAUUUUCACGCAUUUAAUAUACGUCAGAGAGCGAGUCAAUGUACUUAAUUUUGUAUAUACCAACUAUUUUGCACUAAGAAUAAUCUAACAUACCUUAAUCCAUUUCUGUUGUUAGACAGACAAACGCUUAGUUGUUGACUGGAAAUAUAUUGCGGGACCUCGCUAUUUAUUUAUUUAUUUAUUUAGCUUUGCAACUAGGAUAGGGUCACCACAACAGCAUUUGCCAAUUAUUGUGGGCCCUUUUACCUGCCCACGUGCCCGGGGUUAACCAACGACUUUCGGCAGAACGUUGACUUUCACCAGGCAGAGCGUUGAUUUUCAAUAAAUAAAUAAAUUGAUAAAUAGAUAAAUAGAUAUUGCUAGGGCUAGUGAUGUUGACAGCUUCUAUUUUCGAC
This is a non-coding RNA of Paramuricea clavata, 5057 nucleotides long. The record is from the annotation of a GenBank genome assembly. Lineage: Eukaryota; Metazoa; Cnidaria; Anthozoa; Malacalcyonacea; Plexauridae.